UACGUAGGUGGCAAGCGAUACUCGGAAUCACUAGGCGUAAAGCGCAGGUAGGUGGUUUGGUAAGUCUGUUGUGAAAGCUCCCGGCUUAACUGGGAGAGGUCAACGGAAACUACCAGGCUAGAGUGCGGUAGAGGUAGCUGGAAUUCCCGGUGUAGCGGUGAAAUGCGUAGAUAUCGGGAGGAAUACCUAUGGCGAAAGCAGGCUACUGGACCGUCACUGACUCUGAUCUGCGAAAGCUAGGGGAGCAAACAGG
This 253-nucleotide ribosomal RNA is filed under the name uncultured bacterium. Its description in RNAcentral is "partial 16S ribosomal RNA". It matches the Rfam family "Bacterial small subunit ribosomal RNA", at positions 524 to 776 of the family's 1533-position model. The record is from RNAcentral.